AGCAUGUGGUUUAAUUCGACGCAACGCGAAGAACCUUACCAGGGCUUGACAUCCUCUGACCGCAUAUGAAAGUAUGUUUUCUGGCUUCGGUCAGACGGAGAGACAGGUGGCGCAUGGUUGUCGUCAGCUCGUGUCGUGAGAUGUUGGGUUAAGUCCCGCAACGAGCGCAACCCCUACGUUUAGUUGCUAACGUGUAACGAUGAGCACUCUAGGCGGACUGCCGUUGACAAAACGGAGGAAGUGGGAUGACGUCAAAUCAUCAUGCCCCUUAUGUUCUGGGCUACACACGUGCUACAAUGGCCGGUACAAAGGGACGCAAAGCCGCGAGGUGGAGCAAAUCCGAUAAAAGCCGGUCUCAGUUCGGAUUGCAGGCUGCAAUUCGCCUGCAUGAAGUCGGAAUCGCUAGUAAUCGCAGGUCAGCAUACUGCGGUGAAUACGUUCCCGGGCCUU
Molecule: ribosomal RNA, 450 nt
Filed under: uncultured Cryptanaerobacter sp.
Lineage: Bacteria; Bacillati; Bacillota; Clostridia; Eubacteriales; Desulfotomaculaceae
Description: bacterial SSU rRNA
Rfam family: Bacterial small subunit ribosomal RNA
Source: RNAcentral